GAUGAACGCUGGCGGCGUGCCUAAUACAUGCAAGUCGAGCGAACGGACGAGAAGCUUGCUUCUCUGAUGUUAGCGGCGGACGGGUGAGUAACACGUGGAUAACCUACCUAUAAGACUGGGAUAACUUCGGGAAACCGGAGCUAAUACCGGAUAAUAUUAUGAAAAGCAUGGUUCAAAAGUGAAAGACGGUCUUGCUGUCACUUAUAGAUGGAUCCGCGCUGCAUUAGCUAGUUGGUAAGGUAACGGCUUACCAAGGCAACGAUGCAUAGCCGACCUGAGAGGGUGAUCGGCCACACUGGAACUGAGACACGGUCCAGACUCCUACGGGAGGCAGCAGUAGGGAAUCUUCCGCAAUGGGCGAAAGCCUGACGGAGCAACGCCGCGUGAGUGAUGAAGGUCUUCGGAUCGUAAAGCUCUGUUAUUAGGGAAGAACAUAUGUGUAAGUAACUGUGCACAGCUUGACGGUACCUAAUCAGAAAGCCACGGCUAACUACGUG
RNAcentral lists this ribosomal RNA (497 nucleotides) under uncultured bacterium. Its description in RNAcentral is "partial 16S ribosomal RNA". It matches the Rfam family "Bacterial small subunit ribosomal RNA", at positions 28 to 507 of the family's 1533-position model. The record is from RNAcentral.